UGGGGAAUAUUGGACAAUGGGCGCAAGCCUGAUCCAGCCAUGCCGCGUGAGUGAUGAAGGCCCUAGGGUUGUAAAGCUCUUUCACCGGUGAAGAUAAUGACGGUAACCGGAGAAGAAGCCCCGGCUAACUUCGUGCCAGCAGCCGCGGUAAUACGAAGGGGGCUAGCGUUGUUCGGAUUUACUGGGCGUAAAGCGCACGUAGGCGGACUUUUAAGUCAGGGGUGAAAUCCCGGGGAUCAACCCCGGAACUGCCUUUGAUACUGGAAGUCUUGAGUAUGGUAGAGGUGAGUGGAGUUCCGAGUGUAGAAGUGAAAUUCGUAAAUAUUCGGAGGAAAACCAGUGGCGAAGGCGGCUCACAGGACCAUUACAGACGCUGAGGUGCGAAAGCGUGGGGAGCAAACAGG
RNAcentral lists this ribosomal RNA (404 nucleotides) under Actinomycetes bacterium. Its description in RNAcentral is "Actinobacteria bacterium partial 16S ribosomal RNA". It matches the Rfam family "Bacterial small subunit ribosomal RNA", at positions 355 to 776 of the family's 1533-position model. Lineage: Bacteria; Bacillati; Actinomycetota; Actinomycetes. The record is from RNAcentral.